UGCCUGCCCGGUGACAAUUGUGUUAAACGGCCGCGGUAUUUUUGACUGUGCGAAGGUAGCGUAAUCAUUUGCUCUUUAAUUGGGGGCUUGAAUGAAUGGCAAGACAGAAGCUAUGCUGUCUUUUCUUUAAUUUCUUGAAUUUAAUAUUGUUGUGAAGAAGCGACAAUGGGGCCGUAGGACGAGAAGACCCUGUCGAGCUUUACUAGGGGCAGUUUCGUUUUAUUAGACUUUAAGGGCUAAUUGUUUUUUCUGGUAACAGGAAUCCUGUGAGUUACUUUUGAAGCAGGCUAUUGGAAAUUGUUUUAUUGUUUGGUUGGGGCAACCGCGGAGAACAAGAAUCCUCCGUUCUUUAUGAGGAAAAAGUUACUGCUUUGUUGUAUUAAUAUAUUAAAUAUUGAUUUAAGU
RNAcentral lists this ribosomal RNA (405 nucleotides) under Henricia compacta. Its description in RNAcentral is "partial 16S ribosomal RNA". It matches the Rfam family "Archaeal large subunit ribosomal RNA", at positions 1948 to 2469 of the family's 2987-position model. Lineage: Eukaryota; Metazoa; Echinodermata; Asteroidea; Spinulosida; Echinasteridae. The record is from RNAcentral.